This 75-nucleotide transfer RNA is filed under the name Candidatus Moraniibacteriota bacterium. RNAcentral describes it as "tRNA-Ile". It matches the Rfam family "tRNA". From Rfam's summary of the family: Transfer RNA (tRNA) molecules are approximately 80 nucleotides in length. Their secondary structure includes four short double-helical elements and three loops (D, anti-codon, and T loops). Further hydrogen bonds mediate the characteristic L-shaped molecular structure. tRNAs have two regions of fundamental functional importance: the anti-codon, which is responsible for specific mRNA codon recognition, and the 3' end, to which the tRNAs corresponding amino acid is attached (by aminoacyl-tRNA synthetases). tRNAs cope with the degeneracy of the genetic code in two manners: having more than one tRNA (with a specific anti-codon) for a particular amino acid; and 'wobble' base-pairing, i.e. permitting non-standard base-pairing at the 3rd anti-codon position. Lineage: Bacteria; Candidatus Moraniibacteriota. The record is from RNAcentral.
UCCCUCGUAGCUCAGGGGUAGAGCACGUCACCGAUAAUGACGCUGUAGGUGGUUCGAGUCCAUCCGAGGGAGCCA